RNAcentral lists this ribosomal RNA (427 nucleotides) under uncultured bacterium. RNAcentral's name for it is "bacterial SSU rRNA". It matches the Rfam family "Bacterial small subunit ribosomal RNA", at positions 355 to 774 of the family's 1533-position model. The record is from RNAcentral.
UGGGGAAUUUUGGACAAUGGGCGCAAGCCUGAUCCAGCCAUGCCGCGUGCAGGAUGAAGGCCUUCGGGUUGUAAACUGCUUUUGUACGGAACGAAAAGACUCCUUCUAAUAAAGGGUGUCCAUGACGGUACCGUAAGAAUAAGCACCGGCUAACUACGUGCCAGCGGCCGCGGUAAUACGUAGGGUGCGAGCGUUAACCGGAAUUACUGGGCGUAAAGCGUGCGCAGGCGGUUAUAUAAGACAGAUGUGAAAUCCCCGGGCUCAACCUGGGAACUGCAUUUGUGACUGUAUAGCUAGAGUACGACAGAAAGGGAUGUAAUUCCGCGUGUAGCAGUGAAAUUCGUAGAUAUGCGGAGGAACACCGAUGACGAUGACAAUCCCCUGGACAUGUACUGACGCUCAUGAACGAAAGCGUGAGAAACAAACA